CAGACAUGGGAGAAUGUCCAGAGCCAGCUCUUGUAAGAACAAAUCACAAGUCACGCUUGGAAGAAACAAACCAAGACAACCAAGCUGCAGAUUAAUGAGGAUUCCCUCAUGGCCUUUAAUUCAAAAUGUAACUGCUCCAACAAUGCCAAUUCCUAUAGAAUAUAUCAAAUGAAUAUUAAAUUAUAUUAUAGUGAACAUAAGUAGUGAGAUCAAAUGUGAAUGAAAUGUGAAUUUGCUCUAAUUGGAUUGAUGACGGACAUGCUUGAAGGCUACAUGGAAGAAGAGGUUACAUACCACAAUGUUCAGACCAACAUUUAUCACGGUUAAAGGAGGUGAUACAGCUAUAACUUAUGAUCACUGACCUGGAGCAACAAUCUCUGUAUCCAAGGAGAUCCAGAAGAUUUCAAAGCAGCAGACUUAUCUACAUACAUGCACAUUUUCAUGUGGCCUUAUUUCUAAAGAGAAGGAUACCUAAGUGAUACUGGAUUGCAUCCACUGACUGUCAAGGUCUCCC
Molecule: non-coding RNA, 514 nt
Organism: Pelobates cultripes (western spadefoot toad)
Lineage: Eukaryota; Metazoa; Chordata; Amphibia; Anura; Pelobatidae
Source: the annotation of a GenBank genome assembly